GAUGAAAGAACGUAGCGAAAUGCGAUAAGUAAUGUGAAUUGCAGAAUUCAGUGAAUCAUCGAAUCUUUGAACGCACAUUGCGCCCGCCAGUAUUCUGGCGGGCAUGCCUGUCUGAGCGUCAUUUCAACCCUCAUGCCCCUAGGGCGUGGUGUUGGGGAUCGGCCAAAGCCCGCGAGGGACGGCCGGCCCCUAAAUCUAGUGGCGGACCCGUCGUGGCCUCCUCUGCGAAGUAGUGAUAUUCCGCAUCGGAGAGCGAUGAGCCCCUGCCGUUAAACCCCCAACUUUCCAAGGUUGACCUCAGAUCAGGUAGGAAUACCCGCUGAACUUAAGCAUAUCAAUAAGCGGAGGA
RNAcentral lists this unclassified non-coding RNA (349 nucleotides) under soil metagenome. RNAcentral describes it as "partial contains 5.8S ribosomal RNA, internal transcribed spacer 2, and large subunit ribosomal RNA". The stretch from base 6 to 121 matches the Rfam family "5.8S ribosomal RNA", at positions 39 to 154 of the family's 154-position model. The record is from RNAcentral.